Non-coding RNA from Rattus norvegicus (Norway rat), 8096 nucleotides. The record is from RefSeq and is a predicted model, not a curated record. NCBI's taxonomy places the organism in Eukaryota, Metazoa, Chordata, Mammalia, Rodentia, Muridae.
UUCAUCCGGCUGUCGGCGCAGUUCGGUGUCUUCGGGUGUCUGAGCUGGGAGCGUUUGGUCCCUCGCGGGGAGGUGUUCCGUAAUGGCUCGGCCUCCGGAAAGAGCUUCAGUGUACUUUUCACCUUGACAGUUGGGCCGCCACCGGGAUCUGCAGCCAUUUAAACACGCUUUCCCGCACCUGUGCACGUAAAUUAUGAAAGUUGAUCCUUCUGAUGUCCCACGCACCCCAAAAAGUUCUCCCGGGAUGGCCUUCCGGACUGCUGCUGGAUGCAGUGAUGUCCCUGGCGCCGCUCAGUCUAGCAGCUGCGCAGGCUGUCUUAGCCAAUAAAGCUGGUGUUAGAACUGCAAAAGCCACGGGGGGUGGGGGGGCGGCUAUCUUGCGUUUCCUGUGGUUGCACCAAACUGUAUAUUAGUAGAGGUAAUGGCAUUAACAUGCUUUUCGUCUGCACACCCUAUGUAUGAUACAAGCCUCUUAUGAAGCAGUCCGGGAUUCAGACCCAGGAUGAGGAACAGAAGACGGUCUGUGUUGGCAGAGAAGAGGACAUUAGGAGGUCAGAGAGAAUGACAGCUGUUGUCCAUGGCAGAGAAGUGGUCAUUUUCUACCACAAGGGGGAAUAUCAUGCAAUGGACAUUCGCUGCUACCAUUCUGGAGGACCCUUGCACUUGGGAGAAAUUGAGGAUUUCAAUGGACAAUCAUGUAUAGUUUGCCCGUGGCAUAAAUACAAAAUCACUUUGGCAACAGGAGAAGGAUUAUACCAGUCUAUAGAUCCUAAAGACCCAUCAGCAAAACCCAAGUGGUGCUCCAAAGGAGUAAAGCAAAGGAUUCACAUUGUGACGGUGAAGAAUGGCAACAUUUAUGUGACGCUUUCUAAGGAACCUUUCAAAUGUGACUCUGACUAUUAUGCCACUGGAGAAUUCAAAGUGAUUCAGAGUUCUUCCUGAUAAAACAUGUACAGCAGCCAAAAAAUGCUGACAUGAUAGUACUGGCUGAUUGUCACAGCUACUCAGACCAGCCUGGAAGGAACGGAACAAGGUGGCAUUUUUGCUUUUCUCAUUCCACAGAGACCCAGGAGAAAGGAGACAGAAGUGACCCUCAACAUAGCUGCUGAAAGUAAAGUGAGGUUCCAGCAAGGAAUCACAUCCCAAGUCUAAGCCCUAACUGGACCAGUGAGCUGUGCUGCUGGAAGGCUUUGCUCAUCCAAGUGGAUAGUAGUACCUGGAGCUAGAAUCGUUUACGUCAAGCUUUUGCUAGGAAGACAAGAGCAUGCUUACAGUACUUCGUGGAACUCCUGUACAAAGAGAAUAAUAAAUGACUUGACAGACAUUAGUAUCUCAUGCACAUGAGAAAGAAUGACAUUAGAGCUGUAUGCCUAGCAAAUGGGAAAACUGAAAAGAAAAGUGAGCCAAAGUAAUCUCUACUGGUGGGAGUGCAGAGCAUGGACUCCUCCUUCAUAAGGAUGAGGUCAGUGCUGAGGAGGGUAUGAGAUUUUCGGGGCAUGGCUACCAUAAAUUGUCAAUUUAUGAAAAUUCAUUGAAUUACACAUUAAGUGGUUUGCAUACUUUUUGAUUAUAUAGCUCUGUUAGUUUUGAUUUAGAAUUUAAUGAUUCUAUCUGGAUUUUUUUCUUUUUCUUUCUUUUUUUUUUUAUUAUUAACUUGAGUAUUUCUUAUAUACAUUUCGAGUGUUAUUCCCUUUCCCGGUUUCCGGGCAAACACCGCCCUCCCCCCUCCCCUUCCUUAUGGGUGUUCCCCUCCCAACCCUCCCCCCAUUGCCGCCCUCCCCCCAUAGACUAGUUCACUGGGGGAUCAGUCUUAGCAGGACCCAGGGCUUCCCCUUCCACUGGUGCUCUUACUAGGAUAUUCAUUGCUACCUAUGAGGUCAGAGUCCAGGGUCAGUCCAUGUAUAGUCUUUAGGUAGUGGCUUAGUCCCUGGAAGCUCUGGUUGCUUGACAUUGUUGUACUUUUGGGGUCUCGAGCACCUUCAAGCUCUUCCAGUUCUUUCUCUGAUUCCUUCAACGGGGGACCUAUUCUCAGUUCAGUGGUUUGCUGCUGGCAUUCGCCUCUGUGUUUGCUGUAUUCUGGCUGUGUCUCUCAGGAGCGAUCUCCAUCCGGCUCCUGUCGGUCUGCACUUCUUUGCUUCAUCCAUCUUGUCUAAUUGGGUGGCUGUAUAUGUAUGGGCCACAUGUGGGGCAGGCUCUGAAUGGGUGUUCCUUCUGUCUCUGUUUUAAACUUUGCCUCUUUAUUCCCUGUCAAGGAUAUUCUUGUUCCCCUUUUAAAGAAGGAGUGAAGCAUUCACGUUUUGAUGAUCUGUCUUGAGUUUCAUGUGUUCUGUGCAUCUAGGGUAAUUCAAGCAUUUGGGCUAAUAGCCACUUAUCAAUGAGUGCAUACCGUGUGUGUUUUUCUGUGAUUGGGUUACCUCACUCAGGAUGAUAUUUUCCAGUUCCAACCAUUUGUCUAUGAAUUUCAUAAUGUCAUUGUUUUUGAUAACUGAGUAAUAUUCCAUUGUGUAGAUGUACCACAUUUUGUGUAUCCAUUCCUCUGUUGAAGGGCAUCUGGGUUCUUUCCAGCUUCUGGCUAUUAUAAAUAAGGCUGCUAUAAACAUAGUGGAGCACGUGUCUUUUUUAUACAUUGGGGCAUCUUUUGGGUAUAUGCCCAAGAGAGGUAUAGCUGGAUCCUCAGGCAGUUCAAUGUCCAAUUUUCUGAGGAACCUCCAGACUGAUUUCCAGAAUGGUUGUACCAGUCUGCAAUCCCACCAACAAUGGAGGAGUGUUCCUCUUUCUCCGCAUCCUCGCCAGCAUCUGCUGUCACCUGAGUUUUUGAUCUUAGCCAUUCUCACUGGUGUGAGGUGGAAUCUCAGGGUUGUUUUGAUUUGCAUUUCCCUUAUGACUAAAGAUGUUGAACAUUUCUUUAGGUGUUUCUCAGCCAUUCGGCAUUCCUCAGCUGUGAAUUCUUUCUUUAGCUCUGAACCCCAUUUUUUAAUAGGGUUAUUUGUCUCCCUACGGUCUAACUUCUUGAGUUCGUUGUAUAUUUUGGAUAUAAGGCCUCUAUCUGUUGUAGGAUUGGUAAAGAUCUUUUCCCAAUCUGUUGGUUGCCGUUUUGUCCUAGCCACAGUGUCCUUUGCCUUACAGAAGCUUUGCAGUUUUAUGAGAUCCCAUUUGUCGAUUCUUGAUCUUAGAGCAUAAGCCAUUGUUGUUUUGUUUAGGAAAAUUUUUCCAGUGCCCAUGUGUUCCAGAUGCUUCCCUAGUUUUUCUUCUAUUAGUUUGAGUGUGUCUGGUUUGAUGUGGAGGACCUUGAUCCACUUGGACUUAAGCUUUGUACAGGGUGAUAAGCAUGGAUCGAUCUGCAUUCUUCUACAUGUUGACCUCCAGUUGAACCAGCACCAUUUGCUGAAAAUGCUAUCUUUUUUCCAUUGGAGGGUUUUGGCUCCUUUGUCAAAAAUCAAGUGCCCAUAGGUGUGUGGGUUCAUUUCUGGGUCUUCACUUCUAUUCCACUGGUCUAUCUGUCUGUCUCUGUACCAAUACCAUGCAGUUUUUAUCACUAUUGCUCUGUAAUACUGCUUGAGUUCAGGGAUAGUAAUUCCCCCUGAAGUCCUUUUAUUGUUGAGGAUAGUUUUAGCUAUCCUGGGUUUUUUGUUAUUCCAGAUGAAUUUGCAAAUUGUUCUGUCUAACUCUUUGAAGAAUUGGAUUGGUAUUUUGAUGGGGAUUGCAUUGAAUCUGUAGAUCGCUUUUGGUAAAAUGGCCAUUUUUACUAUAUUAAUCCUGCCAAUCCAUGAUCAUGGGAGAUCUUUCCAUCUUCUGAGGUCUUCUUCAAUUUCUUUCUUCAGUGUCUUGAAGUUCUUAUUGUACACAUCUUUUACUUGCUUGGUUAAAGUCACACCAAGGUACUUUAUAUUAUUUGGGUCUAUUAUGAAGGGUGUCGUUUCCCUAAUUUCUUUCUCGGCUUGUUUCUCUUUUGUGUAGAGGAAGGCUACUGAUUUAUUUGAGUUAAUUUUAUACCCAGUCACUUUGCUGAAGUUGUUUAUCAGCUUUAGUAGUUCUCUGGUGGAACUUUUGGGAUCAUUUAAAUAUACUAUCAUAUCAUCUGCAAAUAGUGAUAUUUUGACUUCUUCUUUUCCGAUCUGUAUCCCCUUGACCUCCUUUUGUUGUCUGAUUGCUCUGGCUAGAACUUCAAGAACUAUAUUGAAUAAGUAGGGAGAGAGUGGGCAGCCUUGUCUAGUCCCUGAUUUUAGUGCGAUUGUUUCAAGUUUCUCUCCAGUUACUUUAAUGUUAGCAACUGGUUUGCUGUAUAUGGCUUUUACUAUGUUUAGGUAUGGGCCUUGAAUUCCUAUUCUUUCCAGGACUUUUAUCAUGAAGGGGUGUUGAAUUUUGUCAAAUGCUUUCUCAGCAUCUAAUGAAAUGAUCAUGUGGUUCUGUUCUUUCAGUUUGUUUAUAUAAUGGAUCACGUUGAUGGUUUUCCGUAUAUUAAACCAUCCCUGCAUGCCUGGGAUGAAGCCUACUUGAUCAUGGUGGAUGAUUGUUUUGAUGUGCUCUUGGAUUCGGUUUGCCAGAAUUUUAUUGAGUAUUUUUGAGUCGAUAUUCAUAAGGGAAAUUGGUCUGAAGUUCUCUUUCUCUGUUGGGUCUUUGUGUGGUUUAGGUGUAAGAGUAAUUGUGGCUUCAUAGAAGGAAUUCGGUAGUGCUCCAUCUGUUUCAAUUUUGUGGAAUAGUUUGGAUAAUAUUGGUAUGAGGUCUUCUAUGAAGGUCUGAUAGAAUUCUGCACUAAACCCGUCUGGACCUGGGCUCUUUUUGGUUGGGAGACCUUUAAUGACUGCUUCUAUUUCCUUAGGAGUUAUGGGGUUGUUUAACUGGUUUAUCUGUUCCUGAUUUAACUUCGGUACCUGGUAUCAGUCCAGGAAAUUGUCCAUUUCCUGCAGAUUUUCAAGUUUUGUUGAAUAUAGGCUUUUAUAGUAAGAUCUCAUGAUUUUUUGUAUUUCCUCUGAAUCUGUAGUUAUGUCUCCCUUUUCAUUUCUGAUUUUGUUAAUUUGGACACACUCUCUGUGUCCUCUCGUUAGUCUGGCUAAGGGUUUAUCUAUCUUGUUGAUUUUCUCAAAGAACCAACUUUUGGUUCUGUUGAUUCUUUCUAUGGUCCUUUUUGUUUCUACUUGGCUGAUUUCAGCUCUGAGUUUGAUUAUUUCCUGUCUUCUACUCCACCUGGGUGUAUUUGCUUCUUUUUGUUCUAGAGCUUUUAGGUAUGCUGUCAAGCUGCUGACAUAUGCUCUCUCCUGUUUCUUUCUGCAGGCACUCAGAGCUAUGAGUUUUCCUCUUAGCACAGCUUUCAUUGUGUCCCAUAAGUUUGGGUAUGUUGUACCUUCAUUUUCAUUAAAUUCUAAAAAGUCUUUUAUUUCUUUCUUUAUUUCUUCCUUGACCAGGUUAUUGUUGAGUAGAGCUUUGUUCAAUUUCCAAGUAUAUGUGGGCAUUCUUCCCUUAUUGUUAUUGAAGACCAGCUUUAGGCCGUGGUGGUCUGAUAGCACGCAUGGGAUUAUUUCUAUCUUUCUAUACCUGUUGAGGCCCGUUUUUUGACCAAUUAUAUGUUCAGUUUUGGAGAAAGUGCCAUGAGGAGCUGAGAAGAAGGUAUAUCCUUUUGCUUUAGGAUAGAAUGUUCUAUAAAUAUCUGUUAAGUCCAUUUGGUUCAUGACUUCUCUCAGUCUGUCUACGUCUCUGUUUAAUUUCUGUUUCCAUGAUCUGUCCAUUGAUGAGAGUGGGGUGUUGAAAUCUCCCACUAUUAUUGUGUGAGGUGCAAUGUGUGUUUUGAGCUUUAGUAAGGUUUCUUUUACGUAUGUAGGUGCCCUUGUAUUUGGGGCAUAGAUAUUUAGGAUUGAGAGUUCAUCUUGGUGGAUUUUUCCUUUGAUGAAUAUGAAGUGUCCUUCCUUAUCUUUUUUGAUGACUUUUAGUUGGAAAUUGAUUUUAUUUGAUAUUAGAAUGGCUACUCCAGCUUGCUUCUUCUGACCAUUUGCUUGGAAAGUUGUUUUCCAGGCUUUCGCUCUGAGGUAGUGUCUGUCUUUGUCUCUGAGGUGUGUUUCCUGUAGGCAGCAGAAUGCAGGGUCCUCGUUGCGUAUCCAGUUUUUUAAUCUAUGUCUUUUUAUUGGGGAGUUGAGGCCAUUGAUGUUGAGAGAUAUUAAGGAAUAGUGAUUAUUGCUUCCUGUUAUAUUCAUAUUUGGAUGUGAGGUUAUGUUUGUGUGCUUUUCUUCUCUUUGUUUUGUUGCCAAGACGAUUAGUUUCUUGCUUCUCCUAGGGUAUAGCUUGCCUCCUUAUGUUGGGCUUUACCAUUUAUUAUCCUUUGUAGUUCUGGAUUUGUAGAAAGAUAUUGUGUAAAUUUGGUUUUGUCAUGGAAUAUCUUGGUUUCUCCAUCUAUGUUAAUUGAGAGUUUUGCAGGAUACAGUAACCUGGGCUGGCAUUUGUGUUCUCUUAGGGUCUGUAUGACAUCAGUCCAGGAUCUUCUGGCCUUCAUAGUUUCUGGCGAAAAGUCUGGUGUGAUUCUGAUAGGUCUGCCUUUAUAUGUUACUUGACCUUUUUCCCUUACUGCUUUUAAUAUUCUUUCUUUAUUUUGUGCAUUUGGUGUUUUGACUAUUAUGUGACGGGAGGUGUUUCUUUUCUGGUCCAAUCUAUUUGGAGUUCUGUAGGCUUCUUGUAUGCCUAUGGGUAUCUCUUUUUUUAGGUUAGGGAAGUUUUCUUCUAUGAUUUUGUUGAAGAUAUUUACUGGUCCUUUGAGCUGGGAGUCUUUACUCUCUUCUAUACCUAUUAUCCUUAGGUUUGAUCUUCUCAUUGAGUCCUGGAUUUCCUGUAUGUUUUGGACCAGUAGCUUUUUCCGCUUUACAUUUUCUUUGACAGUUGAGUCAAUGAUUUCUAUGGAAUCUUCCGCUCCUGAGAUUCUCUCUUCCAUCUCUUGUAUUCUGUUGGUGAAGCUUAUAUCUAUAGCUCCUUUUCUCUUCCUUUGGUUUUCUAUAUCCAGGGUUGUUUCCAUGUGUUCUUUCUUGAUUGCUUCUAUUUCCAUUUUCAAUUCCUUCAACUCUUUGAUUGUAUUUUCCUGGAAUUCUUUCUGGGAUUUUUGUGUCUUCUCUCUAUGGGCUUCUACUUGUUUAUUUCUUUUUUCCUGGAAUUCUUCCAGGCAUUUUUGCGAUUCCUCUCUGUAGGCUUCUACUUGUUUAUUAAUGUUUUCCUGUGUUUCUCUAAGGGAGUUCUUCACGUCUUUCUUGAAGUCCUCCAGCAUCAUGAUCAAAUAUGAUUUUGAAACUAGAUCUUGCUUUUCUGGUGUGUUUGGAUAUUCCAUGUUUGUUUUGAUGGGAGAAUUGGGCUCCGAUGGUGCCAUGUAGUCUUGGUUUCUGUUGCUUGGUUUCCUGUGCUUGCCUCUCGCCAUCAGAUUAUCUCUAAUGUUACUUUGUUCUGCUAUUUCUGACAGUGGCUAGACUGUCGUAUAAGCCUGUGUGUCAGGAGUGCUGUAGACCUGUUUUCCUGUUUUCUUUCAGCCUGUUAUGGGGACAGAGUGUUCUGCUUUCGGGCGUGCAGUUUUUCCUCUCUACAGGUCUUCAGUUGUUCCUGUGGGCCUGUGUCUUGAGUUCACCAGGCAGGUCACUUGCAGCAGAAAAGUUGGUCUUACCUGUGGUCCCGAGGCUCAAGUUCGCUCAUGGGGUGCUGCCCACGAGCUCUCUGCCGCGGCAGCAACCAGGAAGAUCUGCACUGCCAUUUCUGGGAGCUUCAGUGCACCAGGGUUCCAGAUGGUGUUUGGUGUUUUCCUCUGGAAUCAGUAAUGUGUGCAGAGUGCAGUCUCUUCUGGUUUCCCAGGCCUGUCUGCCUCUCUGAAGGUUUAGCUCUCCCUCCCAUGGGAUUUGGGUGCAGAGAACUGUUUAUCUGGUCUGUUCCUUCAGGUUCCAGCGGUGUCUCACACGGUGGCUCUUAACUGGCUGUAAAUCCUGGACCAGGGAUGCUAGCGCCCUCCCGUUUUUUUGUUUUUUGUUUUUUUUUUUAUGUAUUAAAAAUACAACUAGCUUUUUACAGGAAAAAUUGUCAGAAAUACACUAAAAUUGUAGUAAAAGCUUUUUGUAAUAAAAGUUGUUUGAAAAGUACAA